GGGAAAUUGGGUCUAAUACCGGAUAUGCCUUUCCAUCGCAUGGUGGUUGGUGGAAAGCUUUUGUGGUUUUGGAUGGACUCGCGGCCUAUCAGCUUGUUGGUGAGGUAAUGGCUUAACAAGGAGACGACGGGUAGCCGGCCUGAGAGGGUGACCGGCCACACUGGGUCUGAGACACGGCCCAGACUCCUACGGGAGGCAGCAGUGGGGAAUAUUGCACAAUGGGCGCAAGCCUGAUGCAGYGACGCCGCAUGAGGGAUGACAGGCCUUCGGGUUGUAAACCUCUUUCAGUAGGGAAGAAGCGAAAGUGACGGUACCUGCAGAAGAAGCGCCGGCUAACUACGUGCCAGCAGCCGCGGUAAUACGUAGGGCGCAAGCGUUAUCCGGAAUUAUUGGGCGUAAAGAGCUCGUAGGCGGUUUGUCGCGUCUGCCGUGAAAGUCCGGGGCUCAACUCCGGAUCUGCGGUGGGUACGGGCAGACUAGAGUGAUGUAGGGGAGACUGGAAUUCCUGGUGUAGCGGUGAAAUGCGCAGAUAUCAGGAGGAACACCGAUGGCGAAGGCAGGUCUCUGGGCAUUAACUGACGCUGAGGAGCGAAAGCAUGGGGAGCGAACAGGAUUAGAUACCCUGGUAGUCCAUGCCGUAAACGUUGGGCACUAGGUGUGGGGGACAUUCCACGUUUUCCGCGCCGUAGCUAACGCAUUAAGUGCCCCGCCUGGGGAGUACGGCCGCAAGGCUAAAACUCAAAGGAAUUGACGGGGGCCCGCACAAGCGGCGGAGCAUGCGGAUUAAUUCGAUGCAACGCGAAGAACCUUACCAAGGCUUGACAUGGACCGGACCGCCGCAGAAAUGUGGUUUCCCCUUUGGGGCUGGUUUACAGGUGGUGCAUGGUUGUCGUCAGCUCGUGUCGUGAGAUGUUGGGUUAAGUCCCGCAACGAGCGCAACCCUCGUUCUAUGUUGCCAGCACGUGAUGGUGGG
Molecule: ribosomal RNA, 973 nt
Filed under: uncultured bacterium
Lineage: Bacteria
Description: bacterial SSU rRNA
Rfam family: Bacterial small subunit ribosomal RNA
Source: RNAcentral